Long non-coding RNA from Xenopus tropicalis (tropical clawed frog), 393 nucleotides. RefSeq lists it as uncharacterized. The record is from RefSeq and is a predicted model, not a curated record. Lineage: Eukaryota; Metazoa; Chordata; Amphibia; Anura; Pipidae. The transcript is spliced from 5 exons.
CAUGGCAACAUUGAUGUCUUUAGACCACCCAUGUGGAAGCCUGCAGCUGAUGUCACAAUGGGUUCCCAUGGCAACACUGAUGUCACAAUACCAGCUGUGUGUGCGUAACCGUUACAACUUGGGGAAACACUUCAGAUUGCUUUUUAGAGCAGAAACGUAACGACCAUCUACCACAAUGGCGCCCAGAUUCUGUGAUUGUAUCCUGGACUGUGUGAGAGGUGUCUGCGCACCGUUCAGGUACAAGAAGAAGAAGCCUGGAAAGUUUGCCCAUAUGGAGACGGUCGUUUACGUGGCAAAGGACGAAUCCAUAACUUUUCUCCCAACGGGGACUAGUUAUUAGGAUUCGUAGGUAAGUAGUUAGGUAAGUAAUUAGGUUAGGAAUAAAAAAAAAAA